RNAcentral lists this ribosomal RNA (425 nucleotides) under uncultured cyanobacterium. Its description in RNAcentral is "bacterial SSU rRNA". It matches the Rfam family "Bacterial small subunit ribosomal RNA", at positions 356 to 795 of the family's 1533-position model. Lineage: Bacteria; Bacillati; Cyanobacteriota. The record is from RNAcentral.
GGGGAAUUUUCCGCAAUGGGCGAAAGCCUGACGGAGCAAUACCGCGUGAGGGGGGAAGGCUCUUGGGUUGUAAACCUCUUUUCUCAGGGAAUAAGAACUGAAGGUACCUGAGGAAUCAGCAUCGGCUAACUCCGUGCCAGCAGCCGCGGUAAUACGGAGGAUGCAAGCGUUAUCCGGAAUGAUUGGGCGUAAAGCGUCCGCAGGUGGUUUAUCAAGUCUGCUGUCAAAGAGUUUGGCUCAACCAAAUAAAGGCAGUGGAAACUGACAGACUGGAGUGCGGUAAGGGCAGAGGGAAUUCCUGGUGUAGCGGUGAAAUGCGUAUAGAUCAGGAAGAACACCGGUGGCGAAAGCGCUCUGCUGGGCCGUAACUGACACUGAGGGACGAAAGCUAGGGGAGCGAAUGGGAUUAGAUACCCCAGNUAGUC